GUGCUCGCUUCGGCAGCACAUAUACUAAAACUGGAACGAUACAGAAAAGAUUAGCAUGGCCACUGCACAAGGAUGACAUGCAAAUUCGUGAAGCGUUCCAUAUUUUU
This 107-nucleotide small nuclear RNA is filed under the name Ovis aries (sheep). The record is from RNAcentral. Lineage: Eukaryota; Metazoa; Chordata; Mammalia; Artiodactyla; Bovidae.